GCCACCAGGAGCCCUGUACUACCAGCCAUGGUCAACCCCACCAUGUUCUUCAACAUCGCCAUCAACAGCGAGGCCUUGGGGCACGUCUCCUUCGAACUGUUUGCAGACAAGUUUCCAAAGACAGAAAACUUUCGUGCUCUGAGCACUGGAGAGAAAGGAUUUGGUUAUAAGGGUUCCUGCUUUCACAGAAUUAUUCUAGGGCUUUUGUGUCAGGGUGGUGACUUUACAUGCCAUAAUGGCACUGGUGGCAAGUCUGUCUACAGGGAGAAAUUUGAUGAUGAGAACUUCAUUCUGAAGCAUACAGGUCCUGGCAUCUUGUCCAUGAAGCAUACAGGUCCUGGCAUCUUGUCCAUGGCAAAUGCUGGACCCAACACAAACGAUUCCCAGAUUUUCAUCUGCACUGCCAAGACCGAGUGGUUGGAUGGCAAGCAUGUGGUCUCUGGCAGGGUGAAAGAAGGCAUCAAGAUUGUGGAGGCCAUGAAGCGCUAUGGGUCCAAGAAUGGCAAGAGCAGGAAGAAGAUCACCACUGCUGACUGUGGACAACUCUAAUAAGUUUGACUUGUGUUUUAUCUUAACCACCAGACCAUUCCUUUUGUAGCUCAGAAGAACACCCUCCACCCCAUUUG
RNA transcript from Homo sapiens (human), 626 nucleotides. It is a transcript of the gene named peptidylprolyl isomerase A pseudogene 30, with no coding region annotated. The record is from RefSeq and is marked provisional. NCBI's taxonomy places the organism in Eukaryota, Metazoa, Chordata, Mammalia, Primates, Hominidae. The transcript has a single exon.